This 253-nucleotide ribosomal RNA is filed under the name uncultured bacterium. Its description in RNAcentral is "partial 16S ribosomal RNA". It matches the Rfam family "Bacterial small subunit ribosomal RNA", at positions 524 to 776 of the family's 1533-position model. The record is from RNAcentral.
UACGAGGGGGGCAAGCGUUGUUCGGAAUUAUUGGGCGUAAAGGGCGCGUAGGCGGUGCGGUAAGUCUGUUGUGAAAUCUCCGGGCUCAACUCGGAGUCUGCAUCAGAAACUGCCGUGCUCGAGUGUGGGAGAGGUGAGUGGAAUUCCCGGUGUAGCGGUGAAAUGCGUAGAUAUUGGGAGGAACACCAGUGGCGAAGGCGGCUCACUGGACCGGUACUGACGCUGAUGCGCGAAAGCGUGGGGAGCAAACGGG